Molecule: long non-coding RNA, 294 nt
Organism: Mizuhopecten yessoensis (Yesso scallop)
Lineage: Eukaryota; Metazoa; Mollusca; Bivalvia; Pectinida; Pectinidae
Exons: 3
Source: RefSeq, a predicted model, not a curated record
AAGAUGUAGAUUUUAAUGCAGAUAUCCAUGGGCACUGGACCCUGGAGAAUGCUAAGAGUCGUUUGCACCAGUUCCUACAGGUAAACAAGAUACAGACAGACUACAAGUACAGCAUGGUGGGACCCGAUCACAACAGAGUUGUGUUGUCAUGGGUAACAGCUGCCAGUGCCAUCUGGUGAGCAAACUGAGAACCAGGAACAUGUACCCCACCAGGCUGUCCCACUGAUCUAUGGAAUCACCACGGGAGCUUUAUAGCAGAAAUGAAGUUCUACGUGAACAAACUUGGCCAAGGUA